This 725-nucleotide long non-coding RNA is filed under the name Anser cygnoides (Swan goose). Its description in RNAcentral is "lncRNA (ENSACDG00005014504.1)". Lineage: Eukaryota; Metazoa; Chordata; Aves; Anseriformes; Anatidae. The record is from RNAcentral.
ACAAAUCUCAUUUCAAAAAGUGGAGUUUCUAACAAGCCAAGUCAGCAUCCUCUGAUAAAACUGGAGUCCUUCUGCUGCAAUACAGAAUGUGAAAAAGAAACCAAAACCAAUAUAUUCUCGGAAAGAGGUGAAUUCCUCUCUAAUGUGUGGAAAACAGAAGAAAAUAAUGUUACAGAAGACUGGAAUAAAGGAAUUAAGGCUUUCCUUUAUGUGCCCAUUUAUGAGAGUAAUCCCUUCAAUAGGAGAACUACAACCUUCGGACAAGGAAAAGCAGAGUUUUCACCCAUUACUUUUAGAAUAGCUGCUAAUAUAGUAAAAUUCAAAGUCAUGAAAGAUAGGGUCUUUACCUCAUUGACUGUUGCUUGCAGACCCAAUGUUUCUCUGGUGCCACUGGAUCAUUAUAUUGUUACUGAUUGUGCUCCGCUACAACAGAGGCCGAUCACUCACCAGCUAGGUUCAGUUUUUUUAGAGGUCACAUCUUUCCUGUUGAUUCUAGGCAGAACUUUGCAGUCAGAAGAGCAGAAUAUGACCACUGGGAUGGAAAAAUGCAACAGUAGCUGGGAGAGAGAGGAGUGAGAAAAUAUGAGAGAAACAACCAGGCAGACAACCAGGUCUGUGCAGAAGGAGGGCAGGAGGUGCUCCAUGCCCGCAGCAGCAGUUCCCCUGCAGCCUGUGGAGAGGCCCCUGGUGGAGCAGGCUGUCCCCCUGCAGCCCACGGGUCCCAC